RNAcentral lists this ribosomal RNA (465 nucleotides) under uncultured bacterium. RNAcentral describes it as "partial 16S ribosomal RNA". It matches the Rfam family "Bacterial small subunit ribosomal RNA", at positions 338 to 795 of the family's 1533-position model. The record is from RNAcentral.
CCUACGGGUGGCAGCAGUAGGGAAUCUUCCACAAUGGGCGAAAGCCUGAUGGAGCCACGCCGCGUGGGUGAAGAAGGUCUUCUGAUCGUAAAACCCUGUUGUUAGAGAAGAAAGUGCGUGAGAGUAACUGUUCACGUUUCGACGGUAUCUAACCAGAACGCCACGGCUAAAUACGUGCCAGCAGCCGCGGGAAUACGUAGGUGGCAAGCGUUAUCCGGAUUUGUUGGGCGUAAAGGGAACGGAGGCGGUAAUUUAAGGCUGAUGUGAAAGCCUUCGGCUUAACCGGGGUAGUGCAUUGGAAACUGGGAGACUUGAGUGCGGAAGAGGAGAGUGGAAUGCGAUGUGUAGCGGUGAAAUGCGUAGAUAUAUGGAAGAACACCAGUGGCGAAAGCGGCUCUCUGGUCUGUAACUGACGCUGAGGUUCGAAAGCGUGGGUAGCAAACAGGAUUAGAUACCCCUGUAGUC